Molecule: long non-coding RNA, 427 nt
Filed under: Struthio camelus australis
Lineage: Eukaryota; Metazoa; Chordata; Aves; Struthioniformes; Struthionidae
Description: lncRNA (ENSSCUG00000006155.1)
Source: RNAcentral
CCAAGCAUCUAAAAGUACUACUGAUUACAAAACCUGCACUGAAAUAUUUGAUUUGAAAAUGCAUUCUAACUACACAUUUUCAGAAUAAAGAGGAUCUUCUGCAUAAUUAUCUUUUGAUAUAGCUAACUAUUAUGUAAAAGUAAGCAGCACAGUGAAAGAAUUCACUAAAAGCCCUUUAUGACUAAAUAUGUCCUCUGGUCAUAGAAUAUCUUGUAUAUUAGAUUAAUCAAGUUCAGUUUUAUUUAUUUUUUUCUUUUUUUUCCUUCUUUUUCAUUGUGGUCAAGAAGCCAGUAAGAAGAGUCAAAAGCACGGUAUGUCUUUGAAAUUCAGUGUUCAUCCAGCAACAGAAAGUUCUUUUUUGAAAUUCAAACACAAUCUACAAGCAACAAUUAUAGAAAAAUUCAGUGUCUCAUGCUGUGUAAGAUAA